This 118-nucleotide ribosomal RNA is filed under the name Pteropus alecto (black flying fox). The record is from RNAcentral. Lineage: Eukaryota; Metazoa; Chordata; Mammalia; Chiroptera; Pteropodidae.
AAAUAUAAUUCCAGUCUAUGGCCAAGCCCGAUCCCGUCUGAUUUCGGAAGCUAAGCAGGGUUGGGCCUGGUUAGUACUUGGAUGGGAGACCACCUAAGAAGAUCAGGUGUUGUAGGCG